CAUCUACUUUUAAGGGACUAGGUGUUUUGAAGUGCAAAAUCAUGAAUAACUCGAGGAAUGUGGCAUAUGCUAACCAAAUGAGGGAGGCCUAUUCCCAGCUGAUCUGUAAAUUCUUUUUCUUUGAGGCGUAGAUUAGGCAUAGGCUGAUCAUCUAUGCCAGAAUUGUAUUACUACAGAUCAAGGAGGGAACAAGAGAAAGAUAUCGUAACAAAAGCUGGAGAGCAAGCAUUCGGAGAGUUUUCUUGUCUUGCUUCCGUCGAGCAUCUAAUCUCGUUCCACGAGUCAAGGAAGUGGCCAGUUGCACCUAAGCAAGAGUGAUUAUAUAAGCCCAAGGAGCUUGAUACUCUUAUCCAAACCUCAACAGAGAAAAUGCAACACCUAUAAAUUCAAAAAAAAUAAAGAAAUCUCAAUAAUUUCAAGUUAUAUUAGGCCAAGUAUUGAAUCUAUUGAUCUCAAGAAAUGAAAACGAGAAAUGCUAAUUGGGAUUUUUAUAGCAUAAGGAAUAAUAGCUUGAAAAGUCCUACGAGAAAUAGAUCUGAAUAAAAUAGUAAGAUCAUGGUCGCGGGACUUCUGACGAGUCAGUGGACCACCUGUUCACCCAAUGCGUCUUUAUCAAGUAUAUCAUGGUCGCGGGACUCGAAGAAGUCCAGUCGGGGGAGUUGGGUGAUGACAUACAUAGUGUCUAGGAUAGGUGGAAGGAGAGGGAUGGUGGUCAAAGUAGGAGAAACGGCCUAUUCGGUUUAGCAGCAUGCUGGUGGACCAUUUGGAAGGCUAGAAACGACCUUAUCUCUCAUGACAUACAGUUUGACCCUGUAUUUGUGGUGCGCAGGCUCAAGCAACUGAUUGGUUCUUGGAACGACCUUCUAUGAUUUUUUUUAUUUUUUAUUUUUUUUUCUUUUCUCCUUUCCGAGGCCCUGGUUGUCUCACCCUUGUAGCCUAAUUCACUCUUUUAAUGAAUGAAGCAGAUAGCGUGCUACCUAUUCUCAAAAAAAAAAAAAAAA
Molecule: long non-coding RNA, 1001 nt
Organism: Ananas comosus (pineapple)
Lineage: Eukaryota; Viridiplantae; Streptophyta; Magnoliopsida; Poales; Bromeliaceae
Exons: 2
Source: RefSeq, a predicted model, not a curated record